UCAUUAUCAGGUUUCAAGCUGGAGAGAUUUUAUGAAGGGUGGAAAGAAGGUAAGUUUAUUAUAUUUUUGUUAAAUAAGUUGGUUUCUAUUUUUUACAUUUUUGUUUUGUUUUUAACCCUUGAAAAUUUUAAUCAUAAACACAUUUCAUUAAAUACUCUCUAGCUUCUGAACUCUGGUUUUUCAGUUUUUUACCCUUGAAUACUCUUUGGCAAGCUCAAAGCCUUUUGUCUGUUGGAUGAUAUUUUAGUUACCGAUAAUGUGUAUUUUGCUUGCAGGGUGGUCAGAUUACGUAGAAUGCGUGAAGUGAAUCAAGAAGUUGUCCUCCUAUCUUUAUGGUUAAAGACAUUAACUUCUAAAGUUAUUGUAUUUAGGAAUUGUAGACGAAAAUUUCAUGAGCUAGCUCAACCUUAUUUUUUGCACUUUUUAACUGGAAGGGUGCAUCUAAUUCUUUUACUCUUAAAAGCAACUGCCUUCUGGAUCGACUGAGUCUAAUUAAUUUAUUACUUUUUCUAUAAACUAGUCAGAUUUAUUUUCAUUCUUUUUGGUUGAGAACCAAACAGGCUGCUCAUAGGCUAAAGAUUUUAUUUGGAUUAGCUGGUUUUGAAGGUACUGAACUUCAUGGAAAUCUUACCCAAGUUCAACUUCUUGAUAUGUGGCUGCUCGGGUGCGAACUCUCUUUGAUUUUGUUUCUUGUCUUGUAGAUACAAUAUAGUUGAGAAAAAAUCAGGAUUGGAUGGAAAAAACUAUCGUGCUUGCUUUGGCCACUGGACAAAAGAGAUUUAGUGUAACUUUAUGCAAGUUUGUUGAGAAAUAUGCUGAAAUAUUGGCAAGUCAAGGACAGCUAACAAUGGCACUAGAAUAUGUUAAGUUAUUGGGAUUUGAAGAAUUGACGCAUGAACUUGUGAUCUUAAGAGAUCGAAUUUCCCUCUCUACAG
This is a long non-coding RNA of Cucumis melo (muskmelon), 935 nucleotides long. RefSeq lists it as uncharacterized. NCBI's taxonomy places the organism in Eukaryota, Viridiplantae, Streptophyta, Magnoliopsida, Cucurbitales, Cucurbitaceae. The record is from RefSeq and is a predicted model, not a curated record. The transcript is spliced from 3 exons.